AUAAAAUCAUAAAAUAUAUAAUACAAAAUCAAAACUAAAAGAAAGAAAGGAAAUAAUUAAAAAAAAAGUGUUGGACUUAAUAAAAGUUCUAAUUUGGGCCGAAGCCACUCAGCCCAACCAUAACCCAGUCAAAACCCACUCAUUCCAGCCCAAAAAACCACUCCCCACUCAGUCUAACUCUCUAUCGCCCAAAACGACGUCGUCCCAUCUCCAUUUAAUCACAACCAUUUGAUUUCCCUGAUCCAACGGCGAUGGACUAUUCUUCAACAUUGAAUAAAUAUAUCCGAAAUUGCUCAAAACCCUACAGAAAGCCUUCGUCUUCCUCGUAUCACCCAUGUCACGCCGCCGACAGAGCCGCCGUCGGCAAACACUACCUGUACCAAUGGACACCAGAUUAACACCACAACUUCUCCUCGUCUCGAUUCCCUGGUCCAUUUCCUUCAAAUCCAGCCCAGGUCGUCAAAUAAUCGAUCAAUUUUUUUCGGCCACGACACUAGUUACGCCAAAUCGUACCAAAAUUACAUUGUAGGAUCGUCACACCAUCCUCUGCACAACCUCCAUGACUGUUUGUCUCGAAUGAAGGUGGAAUGGCUCAAAUUUAGGUUUGAAACUUUUCCGGCGAACCUGGGUUUCAUCAAGCUUCACCAAAUCGGUGCCAUGGGACUUUCCUCGCAUUUCUCAUGAUAUUUCUACCAUCACUGGGGGGUCAAUUGACAACAGGACCAUCCGAAUUCCGAACCAAGAGUUAGCAGACCCCAAGCCCAUUUGUGAGUUUUUCGAUUGGUUUAAUAUUCUCUUAUUUGUUCUUAGUUUCAUAUAGGCUAAUUUCAAUUUAGUUUGGGUGGUUAGUUUUCUUUUCUCAUCAUGAAUUCUGUGGAUUUUCUUUGAUUCCAUGUCUGAUUAUGGCUUAAUUGGAUUACCAUUUGCUUGGUCGUCUUAGCUUAGUUUUGUUAUUAGCAGGUUUUAUUAGGUUCAGUUCAUUACUGGAAAUUAAUUUGAUAAUUGAUUAACUUUCUUGGGCUCGAAUCAUUCCUUGAGGUUUGUUUCAAUUCAUUGUUUACUUUGAAGAUGUUAGUUGAUUAGGUUUAGUUGAUAGUUAAUCAUAGUCAAGCGAUUAGGGCAAUGUUAGAGUCAUGUGGUAGUUUCUCAUGAAUUUAAAGGCACUAUUGGUAAUUGGUAGUUACAAGAAUAAUGUAGAAUCCCCUAGGAGCUUCUAGAUGGGGGUUUCUAAGUAAUUUGUAAAGAAUAGUAGUGUUUCCUUAUGUGACAAGUUAAUAAAUAAGGGGGUAAAAAUCAAAAUGAGGGAGGGACUAAAAGGAAAAACCAAAAUUUGAUCCCUCACUUUGGUUGCAUAAAAAUGGCAUUAUAAUUGCCUUAUGGAAGGACUUUCUUUUUUCGUGCAAAAAAAAAAAAA
Molecule: long non-coding RNA, 1414 nt
Filed under: Nicotiana benthamiana
Lineage: Eukaryota; Viridiplantae; Streptophyta; Magnoliopsida; Solanales; Solanaceae
Description: long non-coding RNA (NBEN_LNC002898)
Source: RNAcentral